GGUGCUUUUUGUAGAACGAGCCAACGAGUUACGGUAUGUAGCAAGGUUAAGUACUUAAGGUACGGAGCCGAAGGGAAACCGAGUCUGAAUAGGGCGACUAGUUGCAUGCCGUAGACCCGAAACCGGGUGACCUAUCCAUGGCCAGGUUGAAGCGAGGGUAAAACCUCGUGGAGGACCGAACCACGUUGCUGUUGAAAAAGCAUGGGAUGAGCUGUGGAUAGCGGAGAAAUUCCAAUCGAACCCGGAGAUAGCUGGUUCUCUCCGAAAUAGCUUUAGGGCUAGCGUCGAGUAUGAGUAGUGGAGGUAGAGCACUGAAUGGGCUAGGGGGCAUAGCGCUUACCGAACCUUAUCAAACUCCGAAUGCCACAUACUUUGAGCUCGGCAGUCAGACUACGAAUGAUAAGAUCCGUGGUCAAAAGGGAAACAGCCCAGAUCGUCAGCUAAGGUCCCAAAGUGUAAGUUAAGUGGGAAAGGAUGUGAGAUUUCUAAGACAACUAGGAUGUUGGCUUAGAAGCAGCCAUUCAUUAAAAGAGUGCGUAAUAGCUCACUAGUCGAGAGAUCUUGCGCCGAAAAUGUAACGGGGCUAAACUUACC
Molecule: ribosomal RNA, 594 nt
Filed under: Clostridium perfringens
Lineage: Bacteria; Bacillati; Bacillota; Clostridia; Eubacteriales; Clostridiaceae
Description: partial 23S ribosomal RNA
Rfam family: Bacterial large subunit ribosomal RNA
Source: RNAcentral